RNAcentral lists this long non-coding RNA (866 nucleotides) under Sus scrofa (pig). RNAcentral's name for it is "lncRNA (ENSSSCG00040056161.1)". The record is from RNAcentral. Lineage: Eukaryota; Metazoa; Chordata; Mammalia; Artiodactyla; Suidae.
AUGAGGCAGCAGCUGGAGGGCCGGGGCUCCUCCCCGGUAAAGGGACCAGGUGGGGCCCAGGCCACGCCCACUGCCCCAGCGAUGACGACGUGGCCCCAUCCCCGAGGGAGAGAGACACACAGGGUGUCGCAGGAUGAGCAAGGGGAGGCCUGGCUGGAGGGACCAAGGUGGGUCCUCCAAGGAAGUGGCAUUUCCUCUGAGCUUCCCGGGGGAGCAGAGGUUUGCCAGGUACGUGGGAGGAGCUUCCCAGAGGAAGGGCCAGCACCUGCAAAGGCCCUGGAGUGGGAGAAACCUGGAGGAAGUCGAAAGAAGCAGCUCGGCGGGGGCGGGAAUACCCCACCCACGGCCCCGGCGUCUUGCCGGGCGCUCAGCCUCCCUCUGGCCUCUGUGGAGGCCUCCCUGCAUCGCCCUCCUGGAACGUCAGCCUCUCCAGAGCGGGAACUUCCGUUCCAUCUUGUUCAAGCUGCGCCCCGGAGCCUGGAACAGCCAGCACCUGGCGCUCAGCAGGUGCUCCAUCCGUUCUGGCUGCUCCCCCAAGACAGACAAGAACGGCGAGGGGAAGAGGGUUCCCCAAAGCCUCUGCCUGCCUUCUGCAGCUGAGCUGCUUCAGCCUCUGUGGGACACCCAUUUGAAGGAACCUGUCCAAAUCCAUGUAAGAGAUCUCCUAUUUUUUCCCUCCCACCUGAGGCUCUUCCUCCUCACCAGACACCUGUUCCAAGGAAGCUCCUGCAACUAGGGUGUGGGCUUGUGUCUUGAGGGUUGAGUAUCCAGGGUGACAGUGAAGAAUCCAUACUCCCACCGCAAGAGUGGAUUUCAGUGUGCCUGAGAGGAAGAGGAGUAAGACAUCCUGUUGGCAUGUGCCCCAG